GAUGAACGCUGGCGGCGUGCCUAAUACAUGCAAGUCGAGCGAACAGACGAGGAGCUUGCUCCUCUGACGUUAGCGGCGGACGGGUGAGUAACACGUGGAUAACCUACCUAUAAGACUGGGAUAACUUCGGGAAACCGGAGCUAAUACCGGAUAAUAUAUUGAACCGCAUGGUUCAAUAGUGAAAGACGGUUUUGCUGUCACUUAUAGAUGGAUCCGCGCCGCAUUAGCUAGUUGGUAAGGUAACGGCUUACCAAGGCAACGAUGCGUAGCCGACCUGAGAGGGUGAUCGGCCACACUGGAGCUGAGACACGGUCCAGACUCCUACGGGAGGCAGCAGUAGGGAAUCUUCCGCAAUGGGCGAAAGCCUGACGGAGCAACGCCGCGUGAGUGAUGAAGGUCUUCGGAUCGUAAAACUCUGUUAUUAGGGAAGAACAAAUGUGUAAGUAACUGUGCACGUCUUGACGGUACCUAAUCAGAAAGCCACGGCUAACUACGUG
RNAcentral lists this ribosomal RNA (497 nucleotides) under uncultured bacterium. Its description in RNAcentral is "partial 16S ribosomal RNA". It matches the Rfam family "Bacterial small subunit ribosomal RNA", at positions 28 to 507 of the family's 1533-position model. The record is from RNAcentral.